GCCCUUGUAGCUCAGGGGACAGAGCGGCUGCCUUGUAAGCAGCGGGUCGGGAGUUCAAAUCUCUCCUGGGGCU
RNAcentral lists this transfer RNA (73 nucleotides) under Patescibacteria group bacterium. RNAcentral's name for it is "tRNA-Thr". It matches the Rfam family "tRNA". Rfam says of the family: Transfer RNA (tRNA) molecules are approximately 80 nucleotides in length. Their secondary structure includes four short double-helical elements and three loops (D, anti-codon, and T loops). The record is from RNAcentral.